This 253-nucleotide ribosomal RNA is filed under the name uncultured bacterium. Its description in RNAcentral is "partial 16S ribosomal RNA". It matches the Rfam family "Bacterial small subunit ribosomal RNA", at positions 524 to 776 of the family's 1533-position model. The record is from RNAcentral.
GACGUAGGGCGCGAGCGUUGUCCGGAUUUAUUGGGCGUAAAGAGCUCGUAGGCGGCUUGUCGCGUCGGCUGUGAAAACCCGCGGCUCAACUGUGGGCGGGCAGCUGAUACGGGCAGGCUGGAGUUCGGUAGGGGAGACUGGAAUUCCUGGUGUAGCGGUGAAAUGCGUAGAUAUCAGGAGGAACACCAGUUGCGAAGGCGGCUGACUGGACCCAUAUUGACGCUGAGGCUCGAAAGCAUGGGGAGCAAACAGG